This is a ribosomal RNA of 547 nucleotides. The stretch from base 160 to 313 matches the Rfam family "5.8S ribosomal RNA".
CCCUUUGUGAACAUACCUUAACUGUUGCUUCGGCGGGUAGGCGUCCCCUAAAAAGGACGUCUCCCGGCCCUCUCCCGUCCGCGGGUGGGGCGCCCGCCGGAGGAUAACCAAACUCUGAUUUAACGACGUUUCUUCUGAGUGACACAAGCAAAUAAUCAAAACUUUUAACAACGGAUCUCUUGGUUCUGGCAUCGAUGAAGAACGCAGCGAAAUGCGAUAAGUAAUGUGAAUUGCAGAAUUCAGUGAAUCAUCGAAUCUUUGAACGCACAUUGCGCCCGCCAGCAUUCUGGCGGGCAUGCCUGUUCGAGCGUCAUUUCAACCCUCAAGCUCUGCUUGGUGUUGGGGCUCUACGGUUGACGUAGGCCCUUAAAGGUAGUGGCGGACCCUCUCGGAGCCUCCUUUGCGUAGUAACAUUUCGUCUCGCAUUGGGAUUCGGAGGGACUCUAGCCGUAAAACCCCCAAUUUUACUAAGGUUGACCUCGGAUCAGGUAGGAAUACCCGCUGAACUUAAGCAUAUCAAAAGCGGGGAAGGGAAAUCAUUACUGAG